RNAcentral lists this transfer RNA (67 nucleotides) under Marmota monax (woodchuck). RNAcentral's name for it is "tRNA.Ala". The record is from RNAcentral. Lineage: Eukaryota; Metazoa; Chordata; Mammalia; Rodentia; Sciuridae.
GGAUGUGGCUCAAGUGGUAGCGCGCUCACCUGGCAUGGGUGUGGCCCGGGUUCGAUCCUCAGCACCA